RNAcentral lists this ribosomal RNA (235 nucleotides) under uncultured bacterium. RNAcentral's name for it is "partial 16S ribosomal RNA". It matches the Rfam family "Bacterial small subunit ribosomal RNA", at positions 524 to 757 of the family's 1533-position model. The record is from RNAcentral.
UACGUAGGGGGCAAGCGUUGUCCGGAAUCAUUGGGCGUAAAGAGCGUGUAGGCGGCCCGGUAAGUCUGUUGUGAAAGUCCAGGGCUCAACCCUGGAAUGCCGAUGGAUACUGCCGGGCUAGAGUUCGGAAGAGGCGAGUGGAAUUCCUGGUGUAGCGGUGGAAAUGCGCAGAUAUCAGGAGGAACACCUAUAGCGAAGGCAGCUCGCUGGGACGACACUGACGCUGAGACGCGAA